Molecule: transfer RNA, 402 nt
Filed under: uncultured Acidobacteriota bacterium
Lineage: Bacteria; Pseudomonadati; Acidobacteriota
Description: uncultured Acidobacteria bacterium partial contains 16S ribosomal RNA, 16S-23S ribosomal RNA intergenic spacer, and 23S ribosomal RNA
Rfam family: tRNA (bases 268-341)
Source: RNAcentral
UCUAAAAGAGAAGCGAUGGCAUACUUACUCCUUCCGCGAUAGCGGAUUCGCCUCGGCGAAUGAGUGGGGUGUCAUCAAACUGCCGACUGUUUACCUGACAGUUACGCAGAAUUCUGGUCAAAGCCUUCUUUGGCCUGAACCGAUCGCACGAUCGUCAUGGGCAGCGUAGCUGCCCUGUAUGUUCAACCUUUGUCCUCGAAACCCAUUAAGCACUGAAUGAGAUUUGGGCGAGCCGCCGGCGUCUUACGGCGGGGGAGCGCGCAACGCGGCCCUGUAGCUCAGUUGGUUAGAGCGCACCCCUGAUAAGGGUGAGGUCGGUAGUUCGACUCUACCCAGGCCCACCAUCUUAGCCAAGCACCUUCACGGGGCUGUAGCUCAGCUGGGAGAGCACCUGCUUUGCAG